GUUUAAUACUAAAUUGUGAACAUGUCAUUAAUAAGUAAGACAUACCAUUCAAAGUUUCUUUUACCACGUUUCUUGAAAAACGUGUUCCAAUAUUCAACUUGGCUAAAUUCUUCGUGUGUUUUUGGAAUAUAGGUUGGAUAAAACAGGAAGAAAGG
This is a long non-coding RNA of Bombus terrestris (buff-tailed bumblebee), 155 nucleotides long. RefSeq lists it as uncharacterized. The transcript has 2 exons. The record is from RefSeq and is a predicted model, not a curated record. NCBI's taxonomy places the organism in Eukaryota, Metazoa, Arthropoda, Insecta, Hymenoptera, Apidae.